RNAcentral lists this ribosomal RNA (483 nucleotides) under uncultured bacterium. RNAcentral's name for it is "bacterial SSU rRNA". It matches the Rfam family "Bacterial small subunit ribosomal RNA", at positions 501 to 986 of the family's 1533-position model. The record is from RNAcentral.
CUACGUGCCAGCAGCCGCGGUAAUACGGAAGGUCCAGGCGUUAUCCGGAUUUAUUGGGUUUAAAGGGAGCGUAGGCGGACGAUUAAGUCAGCUGUGAAAGUUUGCGGCUCAACCGUAAAAUUGCAGUUGAAACUGGUUGUCUUGAGUGCACGCAGGGAUGUUGGAAUUCAUGGUGUAGCGGUGAAAUGCUUAGAUAUCAUGAAGAACUCCGAUCGCGAAGGCAUAUGUCCGGAGUGCAACUGACGCUGAGGCUCGAAAGUGCGGGUAUCGAACAGGAUUAGAUACCCUGGUAGUCCGCACAGUAAACGAUGAAUACUCGCAGUAUGCGAUAUAAUGUAUGCUGCCAAGUGAAAACGUUAAGUAUUCCACCUGGGGAGUACGCCGGCAACGGUGAAACUCAAAGGAAUUGACGGGGGCCCGCACAAGCGGAGGAACAUGUGGUUUAAUUCGAUGAUACGCGAGGAACCUUACCCGGGCUUGAAC